UUAAUUAGUAAAUAUUUUUAAUUUAUUUGAUAAACUUAGAGGUGUUAUAAUAUCAUGUAGCUCAUCGAGGUCAAAAAAGGAAAAACAAAUGUGCACAUGUGAUAUUCAUAUAUACAGCUGCGACGAAGCACGUGAGGACUCUCUCGGCCUUGUGGGGUCCACGGGACCAUUGUUCAUACAAUUUUAAACAAAAGAUUUGGUGUGGUUAACGGACAUUGAUGUUACAUACAUGCCUGAUUUGCAAGACGCUGAGGGGCCAAAUGGAAAGAGUGGGCCAGUGUGGGGAUCGUUGCCAUUGGCUCUUGAUGAAGCCAUGCUUACUUCAUCUUAACGUCUUUCAGGCCAAAUUGGCGUAUGAUGUCAAGGUCAAGAAUCAAGAUCCACCGUGCAAAUGGACGGGGAGUGAAAAGGUUCUUCCGCUAAUUAUUUGAUCAAUUAUUUUGAAAAAUAAAAUAAAAUAAUUAAUUAAUUACAAUUUUCCCCCUUUUUCAAAAUAAUAAGUGAUAUAGAAACAAACCAUUUUUUUUUUUUUGUAAUUUCGAACCUCUUGUACAAAUUGUUUAAUAUAAAAUGAUGUAUGAAUACACUAUUGAUUGUAGUGAUGCUUGUUUGCCCAAGCUAACUAAAUUUCAAAUGUUAAAUUGUUGUUUUGAAAUUUAGCUUACCCCAAUUUUAAUUUACUGAAUAGUCUCAAUAAUUUACUGAUUAUAAAAUAUUAAUAGUAUUGUAAUCGUAAUUAAAAAAAGGGUGUAGUUAAGUUACACAACAUUGUAACUUACAAUAAAAGAGUUACACAAAUUAAAUAAAGUGUGGUUUAAAAUUACUAAAUAUUUUUAGAUUAUUAUAUAUAAAUGUGAAGUUGUUAUAAGCUACAACAUUAGGUGACUUGAUAAGGUUAAAAACUAAAAAAAAAAAAAUUAUACACAUAUCGUGAUAUUCGUAUGUACAAAUAGGACGAAGCAUGAGAGGAAUACUCUCGGCCUUUUGAGGUCUAGGGGAGUAUUAUUCUUAUAAAUUAAAACAAGAGAUUUAAAGUGCCAUGAUGUGUGGUGUUGAAUGAAUAAUGCUACUACAUAUCCUAAAUUUUUAAUUAAUUAAUAAAGAUAAUACAAUUAAUUCACUUAAUUCACUUAAAUUUUAUAAAAAAUUAUUAAUUAAUUAAUUAAUUAAUUAAUUAACCACAUAUUAUUUAGAAUGGAAUUUAGAUUAAAAAAAUUUAAAAUUUCAAUCAGUACUCGGUAUCGAACUGUUGAUAACGUUAACGGACAUUGAUGGUACAUACAUGCCUGAUUUCCAAACGCUGAGGGCCCAACAUAAACAGUGGGCCAGUGGGGAGAUCCCUGUCACUGGCUCUUGAUGAAGCCAUGCUUACUUCAUCUUAACGUAUUUUAGGUCAAAUUAGUUAAUAAUGUCAAGGUCAAGAAUGAAGAUCAGCAAUGAAAUGGAUGGCAAGUAAAAAGGUUCAUUCGGUGAUUAUUUGACCAAUUAUUUUGAUCAAUAAAAUAAAAUAAACAGAUAAUUACAAUUUUUUACUCCUUUUUAAAGUAAUAAGUGAUAGAGAUAUAAAAAUAUACAUGUGCCAAAUAUUCCUUCAAAGUUCAAAUAUGCUUUGAUCAUAAGCAAUUAUUAUCAACUAUUUGUUUAUAUAUAGGUUCACUUCAGUGAAUAAAUUGAAUUGUUAAAUCUUAUAUUUAAUCUAACCACUAGUGUAUUGACACAUUAGUUUGUAUAACAAUUUAUAUCUCCAUUAUCAUACGAGAUUCUAUUGUAUCACGAGGUCCAAUCAAAAUUUGUCUUCCUAGCCAAAGGCAUAUGAACACUUUUUCCCUUUUUAAGGAGGGAAGCUAGUAGACUUACAAGCUAACCUAUACGUUUCCGCCAGCAGUCUUCCGAAUAACAAUUCAGCUGAGCGCACACUCAAAGUUUGAAUAUUGAAUAAUUGUUUUUGUAUAAAGUAAAAGCAAUCGACAUAUCAUAAAUAAUACAGUACACACGGUCUUAAUUAGCGUAUCUCUUUCAUUAUUCUUACUAAACCAGUGCCGGCAACGACCAGCAAUAACCCCACAAUAAAGGCCGGGGACAGCCAAUUAAAUUCGGCCACCUCACGUUUGGUGCAUGCAUGACAUGAGGAUCCCACACAUGGACCAUGCAAUCGCGACGUAACAGUAAAAGGGCAAAAUGUAACCCAGUUGUUAAAAGCAAUCAUUAAGCCACUAAUUGAUUCACGGCGAGGCUUGAACUUGACUUGACCUGGCGAACUUUAUUCUUUAGUGAACUGGGAAUUAAUGAAUGUCCGGUUGCGAGCAUCCCACUGGCCACAGGAACAGUGCAUGAGCUGUAGCAAGCACUUGCAGUCAGCACUGUUUUGGUUUGGUAGCGUAGAAACGAAACAAACAUCAUGUUUUUGAAUGGGAUUUGCCAAGCAAACGGGAUGGCGUGCCAACACGCUUGCCCCACUCCCCCCACCUGCCCCACGCUCCGAUCAAAUCAAUAUUGUAUCUUGAAUUAAAAAAGGGUCCCCCACCCAACGAAGAUUUUGCCCUGCUCUGGUCGCUCUCAAAAUAAAGUAUACAUAAAAUAAUGUUAGAAAUAUUAUCAAAUUAGGAUAAGGUUUGACAAUACAACCGAAAAGGAACGAGCUAAUUAAGCGUCUCCCGAUGACUUGGCUUCAAGAUUGAUGACAUGGACCAAUUACCAUCAAGUGCACAGCUCAUCUCCAGCUGGCUAGCACAACGACUGCAACAAAUUUUCCCUCCUUUUGUCAACCGUUUGCUAAGAGUCUUCUUUCAAUUCUAGAUGCUUCUUAUCAUAGCUGUGUAUAAACAAAGGAUUGUUCGUUAAACAUUUUUAAGUUUGAAAUUUGAUUU
This 2867-nucleotide long non-coding RNA is filed under the name Citrus x clementina. RNAcentral's name for it is "Citrus clementina (C. clementina) long non-coding RNA (CCLE_LNC006536)". The record is from RNAcentral. Lineage: Eukaryota; Viridiplantae; Streptophyta; Magnoliopsida; Sapindales; Rutaceae.